This 468-nucleotide ribosomal RNA is filed under the name uncultured bacterium. RNAcentral's name for it is "partial 16S ribosomal RNA". It matches the Rfam family "Bacterial small subunit ribosomal RNA", at positions 28 to 507 of the family's 1533-position model. The record is from RNAcentral.
GACGAACGCUGGCGGCGUGCUUAACACAUGCAAGUCGAACGGAAAGGCCCUGCUUUUGUGGGGUGCUCGAGUGGCGAACGGGAGAGUAACACGUGAGUAACCUGCCCUUGACUUUGGGAUAACUUCAGGAAACUGGGGCUAAUACCGGAUAGGAGCUCCUGCUGCAUGGUGGGGGUUGGAAAGUUUCGGCGGUUGGGGAUGGACUCGCGGCUUAUCAGCUUGUUGGUGGGGUAGUGGCUUACCAAGGCUUUGACGGGUAGCCGGCCUGAGAGGGUGACCGGCCACAUUGGGACUGAGGUACGGCCCAGACUCCUACGGGAGGCAGCAGUGGGGAAUAUUGCACAAUGGGCGGAAGCCUGAUGCAGCAACGCCGCGUGCGGGAUGACGGCCUUCGGGUUGUAAACCGCUUUCGCCUGUGACGAAGCGUGAGUGACGGUAAUGGGUAAAGAAGCACCGGCUAACUACGUG